This 1002-nucleotide non-coding RNA is filed under the name Globisporangium ultimum DAOM BR144. Its description in RNAcentral is "Pythium ultimum DAOM BR144 Bacterial large subunit ribosomal RNA". It matches the Rfam family "Bacterial large subunit ribosomal RNA", at positions 1043 to 2196 of the family's 2925-position model. Lineage: Eukaryota; Oomycota; Peronosporomycetes; Pythiales; Pythiaceae. The record is from Rfam by way of RNAcentral.
GGUCUCUAAAUAAUAUUCUAAGUGAAAAAGGAAGUGAAAAAUAAUUACAACCAGUAGGUAGGCUUGGAAGCAGCCAUCCUUUAAAGAAAGCGUAAUAGCUCAUUGGUCUAGUUUUUUUGCGCCUAAAAUGUAUCGAGACUUAAGAAAUUUACCGAAGCGGCAAGUUUUAUUUAUAAUAAAACGGUAGCGGAACAUUCUGUAUGUUGAUAAAGAUAUGUUGUAAAAUAUAUUGAAGAUAUCAGAAAAGAAAACGCUGGCAUUAGUAACAAAAAAUAAUGAAUAAGAAUCAUUAUCACCGUAAAUCCAAGGGUUUCUAUGUUAAAAUGUAUUUCAUAGAGUGAAACGGCCCCUAAGAAAGAUUUGACGAAAGCAAAUUUUGAUGGGAUAAUUUUUAAAUUAAAUUUUUUAAAAAAAGUGACAAAAAGUUUUACUUUUUCAGGAAAUAGCUUUUUUUAAAAAAAACCGUACCCUAAACCGACACAGGUGGAUAGGUCGAGUAGACUAAGGUGGAUGAGAGAAUUAUAUUGAAGGAACUCGGCAAAAUGACUCUGUAACUUCGGGAUAAAGAGUACCUAAAUAUUAUAUUUAGGUGUCACAAAAUAGGGGGUUGCGACUGUUUAAUAAAAACUUAGGACUCUGCUAAAUGGUAACAUGAUGUAUAGGGUCUGACACCUGCCCGGUGCUGGAAGAUUAAUAGGAGAUGUUUGCGCAUUGAAUGGAAGUCCCAGUAAACGGCGGCCGUAACUCUGACGGUCCUAAGGUAGCGAAAUUCCUUGUCGGGUAAGUUCCGACCUGCAUGAAUGGUGUAACGACAUCCCCGCUGUCUCCAAUAUAAACUCAGUGAAUUUGAAUUAUCCGUGAAGAUGCGGAUUCUCUAUAGUUAGACGGAAAGACCCCGUGAACCUUUACUACAUCUUUAUAUUGUUAUUUUAUCUAAUAUGUGUAGCAUAAGUGGGAAUCAAUAAGACCUUCACGCUAGUGAAUUGUUUAGAUAACAUUGAA